GGGGAUGUGUUGGUUUUGAUAGGAGUAUCCCAGUAUGAUCGAUGGCCACCACUCGAUGAGCGUACCGAGUCUAAAAUAAUCGUUCACGCACCAAAAAUGCAAACUCUAAUCUAAGACUCAACGUAGCAAAGAAAUUCGCUUUCGCUGCUUAGUCAAGUCCUCUUUAUGGGGCAUAACCCGUCUUGCGUGAUCUCUCUACAAUCGCAGGGUAGUGGCGCUGGAGAUACCCAAGGUUCUGACUAUUACAAAACUUACUGGUCUGACACUAUGUCCGUGUAAGUGCUCGUAAUAGUACGACUGAAAACAAUAACCAGAGUCUCUAAAAUAGUGCUAUAGUGGUACACUGUCCUCAUCCUGACUUCUAGACGCGGGUUCGAAUCCCGCCAUCUCCA
This 392-nucleotide transfer-messenger RNA is filed under the name candidate division SR1 bacterium Aalborg_AAW-1. RNAcentral's name for it is "transfer-messenger RNA, SsrA". It matches the Rfam family "transfer-messenger RNA". Rfam says of the family: Bacterial tmRNA, also known as 10Sa RNA or SsrA, is named for its dual tRNA and mRNA-like properties. Its role is to liberate the mRNA from a stalled ribosome. To accomplish this part of the tmRNA is used as a reading frame that ends in a translation stop signal. The record is from RNAcentral. Lineage: Bacteria; Candidatus Absconditibacteriota.